This 423-nucleotide long non-coding RNA is filed under the name Bos taurus (domestic cattle). Its description in RNAcentral is "long non-coding RNA NONBTAT022029". Lineage: Eukaryota; Metazoa; Chordata; Mammalia; Artiodactyla; Bovidae. The record is from RNAcentral.
GAAACAACAUUACUAAUAUUCUGUGGCUUUGAAAAUAAAUAAAUAAAGACAUUCAUUUUGCCUAAAGCUUUUGCUUUUACGGAGAACAUCUGUCAAAGCAGGCCCUUUCAAAACUUGUUUGGCUUUGCCUAAGUGAUUUAUUUGGUAAAGUAUUUGCUGAAGGGCUCCAGAUGCUUUGAAAAAUAUUCUGCAACUUAGCAUGCAGAAAGCGUAUUUCCCCUACUAAUUAAUUGGCAUAGUUUAAAUUAGUCUUGACAUGAAUUUAGAGAUUAUCUACUUAAACCUCCUAAAGCAUCUUGCCCCCUUUCUUAAAGUUGAACACAGAGACUGUUUUCACUAGCCAUUCAUAUUAUGUUGAUUAUUUUAUAUAGCAGUCAAAAAGCAAAGUUGGCCACUUGAGUUUAGCAUAUACAGUGCUUUAGU